Molecule: long non-coding RNA, 132 nt
Filed under: Ictidomys tridecemlineatus (thirteen-lined ground squirrel)
Lineage: Eukaryota; Metazoa; Chordata; Mammalia; Rodentia; Sciuridae
Description: lncRNA (ENSSTOG00000031305.1)
Source: RNAcentral
CCUCCUGGCUGAGCUUCUCUACACCCGCACCGCGCGGCUUGGGGAUCUUUUGGUGAUGUUGUGCUUUGCUUUUUCUGUGAGGGGUGUCAGAAACCAGUCCUGUGUUACCAAGGCACCAGGGUGGAAGCCACA